CCAAGCCCUAGUCCCAUUCCAGCUCCUCCAUGCUUCUUCGGUUUCUGCGGUUGACCACCGUAACCUUGCUGUUGCGGGUAACCGUACGGACCCUGUGGCGGAUACCCAUAACCUGGACCCUGUGGUGGAUACCCAUAGCCUGGACCCUGUGGUGGAUAACCCGGGUAGCCUUGUUGAGGUGGAUAUCCACCUUGUUGCGGGUAUGCACCGGGAGGCGGAUACCCACCCGGCCCAGCUGGAGGAUAACCACCGGGACCACCAGGUGGCGGAUAUCCACCGGCCUGAGGGUAACCGUAAACACCGCCGUGUUUAUCAUCAUGGCCUGGAGGAGGCGGGUAUGCACCCGGGGCGCCUUGUCCGGGCGGGUAAGCUGCGACGGGCUGAUCCGUAGACUUGUGGUCAACACUC
This 408-nucleotide long non-coding RNA is filed under the name Brassica napus (rape). Its description in RNAcentral is "long non-coding RNA (BNAP_LNC007215)". The record is from RNAcentral. Lineage: Eukaryota; Viridiplantae; Streptophyta; Magnoliopsida; Brassicales; Brassicaceae.